Arachis ipaensis is the source of this 404-nucleotide non-coding RNA. The record is from RefSeq and is a predicted model, not a curated record. NCBI's taxonomy places the organism in Eukaryota, Viridiplantae, Streptophyta, Magnoliopsida, Fabales, Fabaceae.
CUAACAACUAACAACUCUGUUAGGGACUUGGGUAUUAUGGAGUGCUCAAAGUCCCACAUCGAGUAGUAUGGGAUGCUUGAUGUUGUUGUAUAUAAGGAGAGUGGUUCUUCCCCCUUAUUAGCUAGCUUUUAAGGUAUGGUUUCCCACUUUCUUUAGAUACUUAACAAUGGUAUCAGAGCGUGGUUAUUAGCGCCAUGGAAAGGGCUACCUAUAAGCUAGAUUAAGGUAAAUAGUAUGGGAUGCUUGAUGUUGUAUAUAAGGAGAGUGGUUCUUCCCUCUUAUCAGCUAGCUUUUAAGGUGUGGUUUCCCACUUUCCUUAGAUACUUAACAAACUCAAUUAGCGGUUACUUAGAAGUUGGCACAAUACUCUUUGAAGGGUAACAUUUCAAAUAUAUUUCAUUUUU